UGUCCGGUAGGUAAGGCUACCAUAGGGAUACGGAUUGCUACCGCAAAAUGGUGGAGACACUAUGAGAUGGUUAAAAGGUUUUGUCGAAAACAAGGCUUGACCUAACGCAAUUACACCGCCCUGUGAUGCUAAAGCCCGUAUGGU
RNAcentral lists this small RNA (144 nucleotides) under human gut metagenome. Its description in RNAcentral is "M-box riboswitch (ykoK leader)". It matches the Rfam family "M-box riboswitch aptamer (ykoK leader)", at positions 11 to 156 of the family's 169-position model. Rfam says of the family: M-box riboswitch, also know as ykoK leader is described as a metaloregulatory RNA that sense divalent metals and function as a genetic control element of genes related to divalent metal transport in bacteria. It was first reported upstream of the B.subtilis ykoK gene and genes with related functions in other bacteria. Phylogenetic analysis of the distribution of M-box RNAs across bacterial genomes revealed that M-box riboswitches are most often employed for the regulation of Mg2+ transporter genes The record is from RNAcentral.